This is a long non-coding RNA of Camelus dromedarius (Arabian camel), 4891 nucleotides long. RefSeq lists it as uncharacterized. The transcript has 4 exons. The record is from RefSeq and is a predicted model, not a curated record. NCBI's taxonomy places the organism in Eukaryota, Metazoa, Chordata, Mammalia, Artiodactyla, Camelidae.
CCACCGGCGGCCCCCCUGACUCAUGUGAACUGAGCCUUCUAAUUACCGAGGCAGCCAGCCUUCCAGCUUGCUGCCCAGACAGAGCUCUCGCUUUAGAGCCCUCAGUGGUCACCGCUGGCGUCCGGGAGCGGACCCGCACGUCUGCCAAGCCCACUGCCUGAAGCGGCGCUGCCUUCUGCCUCACGAGACGCCGUGCGUUCCUCUCCUGGACGAUGGCUGCUGAGAUGAAACCUUUGAAAACAAAUGUGUGUCGUGUGAAGACGUUGAAGACAACGUCACCGAGCGCGUGAAGUAGGAUUCCUCUUUCUGUUUCAAUCUGUUCGCUGUACUACUGAAAGUGGUUUUAAAAAAAUUUUUUUUCUCCCCUCAAAGAGAGAUGAAACGGCCUUCACUGAGAAAGAGUGACAGUGAUGAAUUGAUGGACCCGUCGCUGCUAGCUCGAAAUCAUUUCCCUUUUUCUUUCCAAGGAAAAUUGAAGAACUGUUUCUACUAGUGAAAAUCACAUUUCUUUUCCAUGAACAUCACAACUCUGUCGUCUGGCGCCCUGCCAGUCCACUGCUGCCAUUGGGCCUGACCCAUCUAUGGCACUGCUGACGCAGCCUCGGCCUGGAGAGAACAGCCCGGAAACCCUCCCUGCAGCUUCUUUCUUCCUUUCAUGAGUGCAGCUGCCGCCGGGCCACGCUGGGACGGAGUACGUGGUGCGAUGGUCUAAUGAUGGUUCCCAGAGAGACCCAGGUCCUAAUCCCUGGGACCUGGGAACGUUCCCCUGGUGACGAGGACUUGGCAGACGUUGUCAGUGAAGGAUCCGGAGCUGGGAUAUUAUCCUGGAGUCUCCGGGUGGGCCCUGGAUUGAACACAGGAGUCCUCACAAGAAGGAGGCAGAGGGGGAGUCUGCCGCAGAGGAGGGCGGUGUGGUGGGAGUUGGCGGUGCUGAGCCGUGGGCUCUGAAGAUGCUCACAGGGAGCAGGAGCCAGGGAUGCAGGGUGCUGCCCUGAACUGGGGCGUGGGCUGUGGGUGCUCCUCUAGAGCCUCCCGAGGGACCGGGGCUGGGACGCGUGGCUUCAGCCCAGUGACGCUGAACUUGCUUCCUGGCCUUCAGAACCGAGUGGUCGUAAGUGUGUGUCGUUUCAGCGCCAUGCUUGUUGGCGCCUGUUACUGCCGCACGGGGGCCGAUGGGCGUGCCGCAUCUCUGAGCCUCUGGGUCCCUUCCUAACUGGCCGUCUGGCCUUUCUGCUUCUCUUCCCGGGGGCUGCCGGGCACCUGCUGUUGGAAGUCUCACGAGCAGUGUGUCAGCAUCAUCCCUGGGUCCCUCCUGCGGGUGGACGUCUGCGAUGGGAGAGUUCUCAGCCUGGUGAACCCCGUCAUGGACGGCACCGUCUGCCUCUCCUGACCCCCUCCAGAUCCAGCCCUAUGCUCGUCCCACACGACCGCAGGCCCAGGACCUCCGGCCCAGUUUGGCUCCGGUGUAACUGUGGGUACAGGCUGGGGGCUGGAUCGUGGUGGUCGGGGAGAGGCCUCUGACUCCUCUUCAUCAAAGGGAGAACUGGAGGCCGGGGGAUGCUAGGGUUCCUGGACCGAAGAGCCCGGGACCCUGGACAUGGCCCUGCGCUGGGGACACUGCAGUGCGUGCGGGCAGGACCGAGCCCAAGGUCCACAUGGUCUUGCUGUUGUGUUGUUUUGUUUGUCAUAUACAGUAAUAAAAUCUCCAGCAUGAGGGACACCUCCGUUGAAGUUUACUGAUUGCAUAUAUAAAUAAAUGAAUAUGAGAGAGUAUGUGAGCCACUAUUUACAUAAAGAGACCCUUAAGUGCAUAUUUGGUCUUCCUCAGAAAAUCAUCUGCAAGACUUCUGUUGCCCUGAGCUCACCUCCGUUCAUCACCACGCAUUCUGGAAUUAAAAUUCCUUUCAGCACGUAGAGGAGCACUUCCAAACGAAACAAAAGGCACGACCAACUCGGCGGUGUGCUUUCGGGACAUGUUUACCAAGCACUCAGCUUAAAAACAGUGGUGAAGUCUGAAGGCACAUUAGAAUGGAGAUCUGAACAGAAGGAUAGAGGGAAAACCCCAAAACUAAAAAGGUCUGUUUCUGAGGUGACGAGAAUUGUCACAGCCUCUGGACAAGAGAAGAAGACAGAUUCCUCUGACGAGCGAGUGGAAGGGCUGUUCUGCUGUACGUGUUUUUGGCUUUUUUGUGCAGCAUCUUCAUUCUCUGACAAUAAAUGCUGUCAGAACAGUGUUACUGUUCUUCCUACAAAUGUGUCCCCUCCGGGCCGUGAGGGCGGAAUGGAAAUGAUGCAGCGUUGAUCUGGAUCAGGGCUUCCCACACGACAGCCCCGUCUCAUCGGAGCAGGGGGUCGUCCAGCGCGGGCUGUGCAGGUCUGGGACGAGGUCUGGGACGAGGUCUGGCACAGACGCAUCUCACAAGCCCCCAGGCCAUGCGGCCAGGUCGCCGUGAGGACCACUGGUGAGUCCCGUGCGAUCCUCCAGCCCGAACUGGCCUUCGGAGCACUUCCAUGCUGCACUGGGAGACUGUCCCCAUCCUCUCUCCCCCAUGGGACCAGCACCGAGGGCAGACACGUUGUCCUAACAUCCCACAGAGUCCGCGUCUGACUCACAGGUGUUAAACAGCGCUGAUGGGAGAUUUCAAAAGUCACCGAAAGAAUUUUGGAAGAGAAGUAUCUAGCGGACAACGAUCCUUGGAAAUACCACCUUAACAAUUUUUAAGACUGUGUUGGUAACUGAAGCAGACUCACUCUUGUUUGGGAAAUUGAAAUAUGUUCUAAUGAGAAGCAGAGUUGCUUAGAGAAUUAUUAAAAAUAGAAGCAAGACAGUCAGAGGUUACGUCAGGCACAUCGCCUACUGCGAACUGCGCGGGAGGAAGGCGGCGACGCUGCGAGAUUUGAUCUGUGAGACGGCCAGUUUCCUCGGCUGAAGGCUCUAAAUGUCUUUUCUCUUUUUCUUCUGGACCAAAAUUAUCUGUUUCUUGAGCUUUGAGGGCUCAAUAAAAUAAUUCAUUAAUAUUAAAAUCUGGUUUACAUCAACAUGCUAUGAAAACCAAGCAUGCACCUUCUUUAGGUAACUGUAAAGCAGUUCACACCUCAGAAACAUUUAUUUUAACAGAAACAAGAUAUUGAUGGAAAACAGCUGGAGUAGAAAAUGCACCCUGGACUUGGCAGAUGACUGAGCUGAUAGCGGUGGGGUUUGGAGAGGAAGGGAAGUGAGGGAAGGUUCUCGCCGAGAUAUGAUUAAACGGCGCAGAGCAUGGCAUUUAGAAAAAUACUGAGUCAUCUUCCUGGGACUUUUCAGAUCCACACGUAUAAAGGAAUAGAAUAAACACUCAUCCUUCCGUGAGCUGGUCUCAGCGACCUCUGACCUCGGCGGGGACGAGGGCCGUUUGGGGUGGCGGAGGAGACGCUGCUCGCAUGGGCAGGUUCCCACCGGGACCGCAGAGCCUCACGUGGUGGGCAGGACGCGGAAGGGACAGGAGGGCAGUUCUUUCGUUUCACGGGAUGCAGUCAUUGAACCUCCUGUUUUUCUUUUCAUUUUUAUUGACAUAUAAUUGACAAAUAAAAAUUACCCACACGGAAACCUCCUUGUGCAUUAACCUGACUGCCAGCAGCCUCGAAGAGCCUUCAUCCAGCGGCAGGUGCUGGCUCUGUCUUGUACGACCCUCACACAGUCGCGCAGUCACGCACGUGCCACGGAGACCACACCGGCAAGUCUCCCGUGUCCUGCUUCCCUUCUCCUCACCCCUCCUUCCCCUGUUUCUGCUCAUGAUUCUUGUCCUGACAUUGACCGCUGAAUAACGUUGUAACAUAUAGUCCUGUUUUUAUUCUCUCGCACCCUUGCUUCAUACUGCAUGAGAAUUAAGUUUCCAAAGAUACGUUCUCUCUCUCUUAAAAAUCUGCUUCUACUCUUGUACGUUCAGUUUAAUCACGAGACCUCCCGAGCAGGUGCGCGGAGUCCCCACCUCUCGUGUUCACCUGCUUUCUCAUGUGCUCCUUCCGGCCAUCUGGGCUGGCUUUCUAAUACAGAGAGAGCAUGAGUAAACACAAGCAAUGAUGCCACGUGCUAAGAGUUGUAUAGAACUGAAGAUAAUCAUUUACUCUGCAUUUUUCAAAUGCAAUCUCUCCCUGACCUUCCUUUGAUUUAAAUAGUAUUUAGACGCAGUGACACUCAGCAUACCUCAAAUUCACCAUUAUUAUUGCUUUGUUUACCACAGGUAUUGUCAUUGACUCUGGUUUUCUGUCUUGAGAUUCAGGAAGUCAAUUAUUAUUAAACAAGUAAGAACAAUGGAUGGGUUUAAUGAAGAGGUGACCCUGAGUUGACAGAGUGUGGAUUUCUACCCGCUGCUGUGAAAACCACAGGGUGCGGCAGGCCGGGCGUGAGCACCCUGGGCAGCUGCAGGAAGGUGACUCUGUUAGGGGCUCCCCGGGUCUGGAGGUACAAAGUGAUUUCUUUUCACCGUCCGCCUUGGGAAAGUAAAUUCCACAGCACACUGCAGACUCCAGCUUAUUAUCUCCAAAUACCAUUUGAAAAUAAGUGAUCAGCACUGUGGAGUCAUUAAAUAUACACAAUUGGAAGAUUGAGCUUAUAAUCUAUGGGAAGGACUUGGAAUAUAUCGCCUCAUUAUUUUAUUUUAUAGCCAAAGACAUAACUUGCAUUCUGUUUCAGUGAACAAUGAGCAUCAGGCCCUGACAGAAUUACCUCAUUUCUUUUUUAUGCUUUCUCAAUAUAGGCAAAUGCAUUACAAACUCUAAUUUACUCUGACCCAGAAAUGGCUCUGUGGCAUAUUUCCGCAGGCCCUUGUGUGCACGAAACAGGAAGUCAUUCAUCAUAGGAUUAUUUUGUCUUAUUUUUAAAAAAUCAUUGUUUAUAUUCCCCAAAGUGAAA